Molecule: non-coding RNA, 95 nt
Submitted as: unclassified sequences
Source: Rfam
UCACCAAUCACUCCCCUCCAACCAAGACCUAUAGGGAGUAUAAAUUACGUCUUUCAUAUCCGAAAGUGAGGGAUUUUCGGAAAUAAGUUUUCGCA